RNA transcript from Rhineura floridana, 3367 nucleotides. It is a transcript of the gene named atonal bHLH transcription factor 8, with no coding region annotated. Lineage: Eukaryota; Metazoa; Chordata; Lepidosauria; Squamata; Rhineuridae. The transcript is spliced from 5 exons. The record is from RefSeq and is a predicted model, not a curated record.
AGACGCGCCUGUGCGCGCUUCGCACAAGCUGGAAAGUCUCCGGGCCGGGUGAGGCACGCAGUCGUUGUAACAGGCAGGCGGCAGACUGACUGAUCUCGCUAACAGGGGCUUCUGUGUAAACUGAGGCUAAGCAAACACAGAUGGGUCUCUCCGCGUGCAUUCACCAAAAAUGCUGGCAAUGCGGCCGGGACUUCAGAUGACAUUCUGAUCCGAUUGCUGCUCCCACACUGCCUUUUACAAAUCGGGGCUUGGAAGGACAGCAGCUGCUGCUCUGCAAACCCCGAGGCAGCCGCCGCCAAAGCCGCCGCCUCAAGGGCUGGAGGUGGGGGGUGGCUCGGUGGGAGAGUCUUGGGAACUUGGGAGAGAAACUCUUGGACGGGCGGGUCCCCCCAUGAAGAACAUGCAGCUGGCUGAAGAAGAGGCGAGCUGGAAGCGCCUCUGCCUCAAGGAACUCAGCGGCAUCAAGAAGCUCAAGCGGAAGAGCCGAGAGCCCGCCAAGCCGCCCCAGCUCGGCGGCUGCAGGAGUUUCCAAGGGGACUUGAGAGCCCGCGAGCACGUGCUCGGUGGGCUGAGGCUGGGGGGCCAGCGGGACGCGCGGCCAGAAAGCCAGGCGGGCGCUUCCAAUGGGGCCCCGGCGGCGGCGGCGGCGGCCCCGGGCUUCCCGGAAGGCAGAGCCAGCGGCGCCGGCAAGGUGAUGGACGUGCGAAAACCAGCUUUCCCUGCGGGGCUCGCCUCGCCCCCCCAGCAGCCCCUGAGGAAAGACGCGUGUCUCCGCUCGGGCAGUCUGAACAAGGCGGAAGGCCAGGCGUUUGCGGACCCGAGCCUGCAGCCCAGGAUGAUGGUGUGUCAGCAGCAGCCGCGGCCGCUGGAAAGUUCUUACUCGUCCGCUUCCCACGUAAUCUACAGCAGCAAUCCCGAUUCUUCCCUGUCGCCUAGGAAACGGCUGGGGGAGACCGCCGGCGUCUCCUCGGAGAUCAAAGCCAUUCAGCAGACUCGGCGGCUGCUUGCGAACGCCCGGGAGAGGACCAGGGUGCACACCAUCAGCGCUGCCUUCGAGGCUCUGAGAAAGCAGGUUCCCUGCUAUUCCUAUGGACAGAAGCUUUCCAAACUGGCCAUCCUGAGGAUAGCAUGUAACUAUAUCCUCUCCUUGGCUAGACUAGCUGACCUGGAUUACAGCGCUGACCACAGUAACAUGAGCUUCUCGGAAUGUGUGGAGCAGUGCACUAGGACCUUGCAAGCUGAAGGGAGGUCUAAAAAAAGGAAGUUCAACUGUGCAUACAUGUCCCUCCAAUGAGUUCAAUGGGAUUUACUUCCUGACUCUCCUUUUGCAUCUGCGCACAUCAGCCUCUGGGCUUCCUUUCGGCUUUGACCCAGCUGCGUCAUUAGUCACAGCGCUACUCGUACUUGUCCAUUCUUCUUCCCCAGUAGCUUGGAGUAAUAACAGAACAUGGUGGAUCCAGUGGCAGUGUCAUCCCAUGUUGUCAAAGUACACAUUGUCCAACUGAAAGCACACAUUUUCUUAAGAUGAAGUCUAGCAAUGGGAACUUUCUGGAUGUGAGAAACGUCUCUUAGAAGCUGUAGAUGUUUUCUUCUUAUAUUGUUUUCUUUUUAAGCCAACCACAUUUUAGUAUGUGCAAUGUAUUAAGCACUUCCCCCUUUCCUUCCAUAGGAAAUGUUACCCUCAGCAAAUAGUAUACUGUAAUUUCGCUGUUAAUGCCAAAGAUCUGGUGGAGUUUAUACUGUCACCCCAAUCCAGAGAAUGCGAUCCACUAGCAGAAGCAGUUUUCUGCAUGUAUCAGGAGCCAUCAGCAUGUAUCAGAUAUGCAUCAGUGUGUGGAGUCAUUAGUUAUUUUCCGUGGCAUGCACAUUAAAAUGUGUGUUCCAUCUACAUUUGGUGGUGAAUGAGAUGUAUAUCCCAGUGUAAGCAAUGCAUUCCAAAUAAAUGAGUGAUUUUGGAUGAAUAUCUGAUAUAUGCUUGUGAUUCCUGAUAUGUGUGCAGAAGCUCGCUUUGGGCUGUGGCACCAGUGUCUUAUUUUUGCCUUAAUUGUCACCAUUCUGGAGUAGAAAACCUCCCAUCAUUCCCUUAAAUAAUGUCAUGAUCACUCCCAGAUCAGAACUCAUAAAACUUUGUGAUUUUAAAAAAAUCAUCCAUUUGCAUGGAUCUGCCCAGAGCACCAGGAUUUACAGGAGGAAGCAGCUGACAUACCAUUUACUGAUGUUUUUUAACCUUCAGCAACCUUAAUGUUCUGUUUAUUUGGCAAGAGUCCAAUUUUUUUCACACAAAUAUGCACACACACAAAGGGGGUAAAAAAGUGAUUAAAGAGGGCGUAAAAAGUGAUUAAAAAGAGAACUACUAACUGCAGGAUUUUGUUUUCAUUUUUUUAAACGUGUCAUUUAACCCAAUGUACUACAAAUUAUAUUUUGAAAAAAGGAAAGGAAGGAUGAAUAGCCAGAAUGUGUAGUAGCAAAACUAUUCCAAAACUGUUGGUAAAAUCAUAUUUUGAAAGUUAGCAGUGUUUAAAAACAAAUGUAAUGCAAAAGCAUUUGAAUUCUAUAUUGUAUCUUUCACUUCAAAUUGAAGUUAAAAAAAGGUAUGGAAAAACUCACUUGGAGUAAGCAGGCUUUAUAAAUUCGUAUCAUAUGUAAGACAUCUGCUAAUAAUGAGGAAUAUAAUUCAGUGUUACAGUACAGUAAUAUGGCCUCUUGAAUAAAAAAGUAUACCAUAUUUCAAUCAAGUGAAAUGGCUAUACAUUGCAGUUAAAUCUGGGUUCUGUUAUUUCAGUAUAAAUUAGGUAUGCCCAUGCUUGAUUUACAAAAGUGUAAUGGAUUUGAAUCUAACCUUUUGUGCGUAGCUGGCUGGAAGACAGCACAAAUAUGCCACUCUUAUCAAAUGUAUAUCCUUCCAAAGGUAAAGCCUAAAUCUAAAUUCAGAAUUCUGGCCUCUUCAGUUGAUAUUCACCACUUUGCUGCACUGAAGGACUCCUACGUGGCUUCUCCCUCUAACAUGGGAAUGGUAGGUUAAUAACAUUGCACCCUUCCUAAAGAAUCUCCAGACAAAUGAGGGCUGGUUGAAGAUACCCAUUACUGUACUAAAAUAAAAUGGAACUCCAAACUUACAUGAUGCUUAAGAGGCCUGAUCUCAUAGCAAUCAAGUAGGCAAAGCCAAUCCUUUUCUCCAAGAAUCUCUCUCAACAUACAUUUUCAGACAGAAGUUAAAUCCAUGUAAGAAAAAAAUGCAAGAUUCUCUCUACAACAUGUCAUAUAUAUGGAGAAAGAAAAUGUAUUCACAUGUUACAUAUUACAGAUGUUUUGCCACUAUAGAUUAAAUAAACGCCUUAAGUUCGUAGGUUGUAAAUAGGGAAGAGUA